GACGAACGCUGGCGGCGUGCUUAACACAUGCAAGUCGAACGGUAAGGCCCUUCGGGAUACACGAGUGGCGAACGGGUGAGUAACACGUGGGUGAUCUGCCCUGCACUUCGGGAUAAGCCUGGGAAACUGGGUCUAAUACCGGAUAGGACCACUGCCUGCAUGGGUGGUGGUGGAAAGCUUUUGCGGUGUGGGAUGGGCCCGCGGCCUAUCAGCUUGUUGGUGGGGUGAUGGCCUACCAAGGCGACGACGGGUAGCCGGCCUGAGAGGGUGACCGGCCACACUGGGACUGAGCUACGGCCCAGACUCCUGCGAGAGGCAGCAGUGGGGAAGAGUGCACAAUGGGCGCAAGCCUGAUGCAGCGACGCCGCGGGAGGGAUGACGGCCUUCGGGUUGUAAACCUCUUUCAGCACCGACGAAGCGCAAGUGACGGUAGGUGCAGAAGAAGGACCGGCCAACUACGUGCCAGCCGCCGCGGUAA
Molecule: ribosomal RNA, 478 nt
Filed under: uncultured bacterium
Lineage: Bacteria
Description: partial 16S ribosomal RNA
Rfam family: Bacterial small subunit ribosomal RNA
Source: RNAcentral